This 223-nucleotide long non-coding RNA is filed under the name Nicotiana benthamiana. RNAcentral describes it as "long non-coding RNA (NBEN_LNC000702)". The record is from RNAcentral. Lineage: Eukaryota; Viridiplantae; Streptophyta; Magnoliopsida; Solanales; Solanaceae.
AGGCAUAGUCGUGCUUCAUGUCCACAUCACGUACUCUGCGGAAAUGGUUGCCAGAAACAGUAAGGCCAUCAUUACUUACUUAAGCACAGGAAGUGCAUGAACACUUGCCCCUCAAGACGAACUAAACACCAGUUUGAGAUUGUUGGAAUUCCAUAAAAAUACGCAAAGACAUUAUAGAAAGAACCACCAAAGUCUCCUAAAACCGGGCAAGACUCCACCAAGG